RNAcentral lists this ribosomal RNA (301 nucleotides) under uncultured bacterium. RNAcentral describes it as "partial 16S ribosomal RNA". It matches the Rfam family "Bacterial small subunit ribosomal RNA", at positions 509 to 807 of the family's 1533-position model. The record is from RNAcentral.
CAGCCGCCGCGGGAAUACGAAGGGGGCUAGCGUUGCUCGGAAUGACUGGGCGUAAAGGGCGCGUAGGCGGAUGGCACAGUCAGAUGUGAAAUUCCCGGGCUUAACCUGGGGGCUGCAUUUGAUACGUGUUGUCUAGAGUGAGGAAGAGGGUCGUGGAAUUCCCAGUGUAGAGGUGAAAUUCGUAGAUAUUGGGAAGAACACCAGUGGCGAAGGCGACUCUCUGGUCUGUAACUGACGCUGAGGAGCGAAAGCUAGGGGAGCAAAUGGGAUUAGAUACCCCUGUAGUCCCUGUCUCUUAUAC